AAUGCCUGAGCCAGGGCCAUG
This 21-nucleotide unclassified non-coding RNA is filed under the name Mus musculus (house mouse). RNAcentral describes it as "oocyte_clustered_small_RNA9514". The record is from RNAcentral. Lineage: Eukaryota; Metazoa; Chordata; Mammalia; Rodentia; Muridae.